AACCAUAGAAACCUGCGGAGUACCUGCGGAAGGAUCAUUACAGAGUUGCAAAACUCCCCAAACCAUUGUGAACCUUACCUUCAAACGUUGCUUCGGCGGGCGGGCCACAGCGCCCCCCGGGCCCCCCCAGCGGGGGCGCCCGCCGGAGGAUACCCAAACUCUUGAUACUUUAUGGCCUCUCUGAGUCUUCUGUACUGAAUAAGUCAAAACUUUUAACAAUGGAUCUCAGAUCGGAAGAGC
RNAcentral lists this unclassified non-coding RNA (240 nucleotides) under soil metagenome. Its description in RNAcentral is "partial contains 5.8S ribosomal RNA, internal transcribed spacer 2, and large subunit ribosomal RNA". The record is from RNAcentral.